AUUUCUAAGUUUGUCUGGCAGGGCAAAAAGCCCAGAAUUAAGUUUAAGAUAUUAACUGAUGCAAAACAAAGAGGGGGCUUUGCCCUGCCAGACUUAAAGUUGUAUUAUGAAGCCGCAGCGUUCUGCUGGCUAAAAGACUGGCUACUUCUUGAGGACACUGAUGUGUUGGAUCUGGAAGGGUUUAACAAUGCCUUUGGAUGGCAUGCAUAUUUAUGGUAUGACAAGGUUAAAGCAAAUAAGGCCUUUAAGAACCAUAUUGUCAGAAAAUCAUUGUUUAAUGUCUGGAUAAAAUAUAAAGACUUGCUGGAAAAUAAAACACCAAGGUGGCUUUCACCUCUGGAAGCUAAGGCCCGAAAAAGACCCAAUAUGGAGGCUAGAUGGCCAAAAUAUUGGGAAAUACUAGAAAAGGAUGGAGACAAUUGGAAAUUGCAGAGUUUGGAGAAAAUGAAAGACAAAGUGCGAGAUUGGUUACACUACGCUCAGAUUAAAGAAGUUUUUAAAAAUGAUAAGAAAUUAGGGUUCCAGGUGGAGAAAUCGAAACUAGAAACAGAAUUGUUAGAACCAAAGAUUAAGGUACUUUCAAGGAUGUAUAACUUGCUGUUGGAAUGGAAUACACAAGAUGAAACGGUUAAAUCGGCUAUGAUAAGGUGGGCACAGGACAUUGGGUAUAAUAUUAUGUUUGAGGACUGGGUAAGGUUGUGGAGUAAUGGAUUGAAAUUCACUGCAUGUAACGCUUUGAAAGAAAAUGUAAUGAAAAUGAUUUAUAGAUGGUAUAUGACCCCAGUCAAACUUGCAAAAAUUUACCACCUGUCUGAUAAUAAGUGUUGGAAAUGUAAAGAGUGUGAGGGAACGUUCUUCCACCUCUGGUGGACUUGCCCUAAAGUGAAGGCGUUCUGGGAAAUGAUUUAUAAUGAAUUGAAAAAGGUAUUUAAAUAUACCUUCACUAAGAAACCAGAGGCUUUCCUUUUGGGUAUUGUCGGCCAAGGGGUGGCAAAGAAGGACCAGACAUUUUUUAUGUAUGCAACAACAGCAGCAAGGAUACUUCUCGCAAAACAUUGGAAAACUCAAGAUCUACCCACACUGGAAGAAUGGCAGAUGCAACUGAUAGACUACAUGGAACUGGCUGAAAUGACCGGCAGAAUUCGUGACCUGGGAGAAGAGAGGAUGGAGGAGGAUUGGAAGAAAUUUAAGAACUAUCUACAAAAAUAUUGUGAUUUGAGUGAAUGCUAAAUAAGAUGCUAGAUUAAAAUAACUGAGCACCACUUAACUUAGAAGUUUUUAAGAAAACAAGUAAGACUGUGAAAGUUUAACUCUUUUUGAGAAUUAUAAGACUAUGAAAUAUUGAAGGGAUAUAAGAAUUCAAAUAAGAUGAUAAAUUGCUGACAAAAUGUUAUAACGAUGAAAGUGGGAGCGGGAGAUGUGAGGAAGUCCAAAGAAAAUGUGAAACUAUGUUAAGACAAAUGUUAUAUUGUUUAUUAUGUUUAUUCUUAUUGUAAAACCCAAUAAAUUGCUUU
Molecule: non-coding RNA, 1514 nt
Organism: Podarcis lilfordi (Lilford's wall lizard)
Lineage: Eukaryota; Metazoa; Chordata; Lepidosauria; Squamata; Lacertidae
Source: the annotation of a GenBank genome assembly